Molecule: unclassified non-coding RNA, 527 nt
Filed under: Hevea brasiliensis (rubber tree)
Lineage: Eukaryota; Viridiplantae; Streptophyta; Magnoliopsida; Malpighiales; Euphorbiaceae
Source: RNAcentral
GUUGAAGACACCCUUUGUGAUGUAUAAUGUAGUUAAAGUAGUAAAUAUAUUAUGUUAUGUCUAGAGAAAACUAAGAGGGAUUAAUUCAUGUAUUUACUAUGAACGGUUGUGGUGAGGGUUCUUUCGGGUGUAAUUGGGAUAAUGGAUAGUUAGUUUUGAGUUUGUAAUUAAUGAUUAUUUUAUUUAUGAUAAAAAAUGGAAUGGCAGUUAUAUAGCCCCUAUGUUAAGAGAGUGAACCAUGUAAAUAUUUUGUUGUAGUUGUUUGCUUUGUCCACAAUGCAUAACGGAGUUGUUUUGAUAUUCUGUAGUUGCAAGAUAGGGAAAAGAAGUCUAAAAAAGGAUUUUUCAAUUUUUAAAAUUUCGUCUUGUAUUAAAAGAAUAGAUGUUAGCAAAAAUACUUUGUGAUCAUGGAAUUAUAUAGGAGUUCUCUCACUCAAUCCGUUUUAUAUUUGAGUGUGCUUCAAUCCUCUCUCUUAUAAAAAAUUAACUAAUCCUUAUAAUCUUAGGGUUUCACACUAUGGUGAACU